RNAcentral lists this ribosomal RNA (798 nucleotides) under uncultured organism. RNAcentral's name for it is "bacterial SSU rRNA". It matches the Rfam family "Bacterial small subunit ribosomal RNA", at positions 642 to 1454 of the family's 1533-position model. The record is from RNAcentral.
UGGGUGCAGUCGAAGCGAGUGGAAUGUGUAGUGUAGCGGUGAAAUGCAUAGAUAUUACACAGUACACCGAUAGCGAAAGCAGCUCGCUAGGCUGUUACUGACGCUGUGGCACGAAAGCGUGGGGAGCGAACAGGAUUAGAUACCCUGGUAGUCCACGCUGUAAACGAUGAUCACUAGUUGUUGGCGAUACAUUGUCAGUGACUGAGCGAAAGCGUUAAGUGAUCCACCUGGGAAGUACGUCCGCAAGGAUGAAACUCAAAGGAAUUGACGGGGGCUCGCACAACCGGUGGAACACGUGGUUCAAUUCGAUGCUACGCGAGGAACCUUACCUGGGCUUAAAUGCAGGACGACCUCCCGGGAAACCGGGAUUCCCUUCGGGGCGGUUUGCAAGGUGCUGCACGGCUGUCGUCAGCUCGUGCCAUGAGGUGUCGGGUUAAGUCCCUUAACGAGCGCAACCCCUAUUGUUAGUUGCCAACAGGUAAUGCUGGGGACUCUAGCAAAACUGCCAGUGUAAGCUGGAGGAAGGUGGGGAUGACGUCAAGUCAGCAUGGCCCUUAUGUCCAGGGCUACACACGUGUUACAAUGGCCGGCACAAAGGGCAGCUACCACGCGAGUGGAUGCUAAUCUCUAAAUCCGGUCUUAGUUCGGAUCGGAGUCUGCAAUUCGACUUCGUGAAGGUGGAAUCGGUAGUAAUCGCGCAUCAGCAACGGCGCGGUGAAUACGUUCCCGAGCCUUGUACACACUGCCCGUCAAGCCAUGGGAGUUGGGGGUACCUGAAGUUCGUAACCGUAAGGAGCG